RNAcentral lists this transfer RNA (76 nucleotides) under Caldibacillus debilis GB1. RNAcentral's name for it is "tRNA-OTHER". Lineage: Bacteria; Bacillati; Bacillota; Bacilli; Caryophanales; Bacillaceae. The record is from RNAcentral.
UCCGGAACAGAUCAACGGAUAGAGCACCUGGCUCUGGAUCAGGAGGUUGGGGGUUCGACUCUCGCUGCAGGAUCGA